CCUACGGGGGGCUGCAGUAAGGAAUAUUGCGCAAUGGGCGAAAGCCUGACGCAGCGACGCCGCGUGGGGGAUGAAGGUCUUCGGAUUGUAAACCCCUUUCGGGAGGGAAGAUGGAGCGAGCAAUCGUUCGGACUGUACCUCCAGAAGCAGCCACGGCCAACUUCGUGCCAGCAGCCGCGGUCAUACGAAGGUGGCAAGCGUUGUUCGGAUUCACUGGGCGUGCAGGGUGUGUAUUCGGUUUGGUAAGUCUUAAAGCGUCGGGCCCAACCCGGAAAGAGCAGAGGGUACUGCCAGGCUAGAGGGUGGGAGAGGAGCGCGGAAUUCCAGGUGUAGCGGUGAAAUGCGUAGAGAUCGGGAGGAAGGCCGGUGGCGAAGGCGGCGCUCUGGAACAUACCUGACGCUGAGACACGAAAGCGUGGGGAGCAAACAGGAUUAGAUACCCGAGUAGUC
This 450-nucleotide ribosomal RNA is filed under the name uncultured bacterium. RNAcentral's name for it is "partial 16S ribosomal RNA". It matches the Rfam family "Bacterial small subunit ribosomal RNA", at positions 338 to 795 of the family's 1533-position model. The record is from RNAcentral.